RNAcentral lists this long non-coding RNA (736 nucleotides) under Physcomitrium patens. RNAcentral describes it as "long non-coding RNA (PPAT_LNC010338)". Lineage: Eukaryota; Viridiplantae; Streptophyta; Bryopsida; Funariales; Funariaceae. The record is from RNAcentral.
AUAUAUAUAUACUAAAAUAGAAUUCUUAAUAAAAUAUUAAAAUAAAAAUCUUAAUUAAAUUCUAGUUAAAAUCUAGACAAAUCUUAAUCAAAUCUUAGUCAAAUUUUAAUCAAAUCCUUAUUAAAUCCUAUUCAAUUCCUAAAUAAGCUCUAAUCAAAUCUUAAACAAAACCUAGUCAAAUCCUAAUCAAAUUCUAGUCAAAUCCUAAUCAAAUCUUAAUUAAAUCCUAAUCAAAUCCUAAUCAAAUCUUAGUCAAAUCCUAAAAAAAUCCUAAAUAAGCCUUAAUCAAAUCCUAGAUAAAUUCUAGUCAAAUUCUAGUCAAAUUGUAAUCAAAUCGAAAUCAAAUCCUAAACAAAUCCUAAUCAAAUCCUAGUCAAAUCUUAAAAAAAUCCUAAAUAAGUCUUAAUCAAAUCUUAGUCAAAUCCUAAUCAAAUCCUAGUCAAAUCUUAAAUAAAUCCUAAAUAAACUCUAACCAAAUUCUAGACAAAUCUUAGUUAAAUUCUAAUCAAAUCUUAAUCAAAUCCUAAUAAAAUCCUAGACAAAUCUUAGACAAAUCCUAAAUAAGCCCUAACCAAAUUCUAGACAAAUCGUAAUCAAAUCUUAGAUAAAUCCUAAUCAAAUCCUAACCUAAAUUAAAUCCUAAUUCUAACCAAAUAUUAAAUCAAAUCCAAAAUCUUAAUCCUAAUCUUAACCAAAUCCUAACCAAAUCCUAACCCUAAUCCCAAAUCAAAUCCUA